Molecule: unclassified non-coding RNA, 231 nt
Filed under: plant metagenome
Description: partial contains small subunit ribosomal RNA, internal transcribed spacer 1, and 5.8S ribosomal RNA
Rfam family: 5.8S ribosomal RNA (bases 183-231)
Source: RNAcentral
UUUCCGUAGGUGAACCUGCGGAAGGAUCAUUCAUAAUAAAGUGUUUUAUGGCACUUUUUAAAAAUCCAUAUCCACCUUGUGUGCAAUGUUAGAUCUCGUCAAUCUUGGCGAGAUUUUUAUACAUCAACUCAUUCUUUAACUAAUUUGUCUGAAAAAUAUUAUGAACACUUAAUUCAAAAUACAACUUUCAACAACGGAUCUCUUGGCUCUCGUAUCGAUGAAGAACGCAGC